Molecule: ribosomal RNA, 754 nt
Filed under: uncultured Staphylococcus sp.
Lineage: Bacteria; Bacillati; Bacillota; Bacilli; Caryophanales; Staphylococcaceae
Description: bacterial SSU rRNA
Rfam family: Bacterial small subunit ribosomal RNA
Source: RNAcentral
AGGGUGGGGUGCUAAUACAUGCAAGUCGAGCGAACAGACAAGGAGCUUGCUCCUUUGACGUUAGCGGCGGACGGGUGAGUAACACGUGGGUAACCUACCUAUAAGACUGGGAUAACUUCGGGAAACCGGAGCUAAUACCGGAUAAUAUUUCGAACCGCAUGGUUCCAUAGUGAAAGAUGGUUUUGCUAUCACUUAUAAAUGGACCCGCGCCGUAUUAGCUAUUUGGUAAGGUAACGGCUUACCAAGGCGACGAUACGUAGCCGACCUGAGAGGGUGAUCGGCCACACUGGAACUGAGACACGGUCCAGACUCCUACGGGAGGCAGCAGUAGGGAAUCUUCCGCAAUGGGCGAAAGCCUGACGGAACAACGCCGCGUGAGUGAUGAAGGGCUUCGGAUCGUAAAACUCUGUUAUUAGGGAAGAACAUACGUGUAAGUAACUAUGCACGUCUUGACGGUACCUAAUCAAAAAACCACGGCUAACUACGUGCCAGCAGCCGCGGUAAUACGUAGGGUGGCAAGCGUUAUCCGGAAUUAUUGGGCGUAAAGCGCGCGUAGGCGGUUUUUUUAAUUCUGAUGUGAAAAGCCCACCGCUCAACCGUGGAGGGUCAUUGGAAACUGGAAAACUUGAGUGCCGAAGAGGAAGUGGAAUUCUCAUGUGUAGCGGGGAAAUGCGCAAAGAUAUGGAGGAACACCAGUGGCGAAGGCGACUUUUCUGGUCUGUAACUGACGCUGAUGUGCGAAAGCGUGGGGAUC